RNAcentral lists this unclassified non-coding RNA (252 nucleotides) under uncultured Mortierella. RNAcentral describes it as "partial internal transcribed spacer 2". Lineage: Eukaryota; Fungi; Mortierellomycota; Mortierellomycetes; Mortierellales; Mortierellaceae. The record is from RNAcentral.
AACACCUCAAAGCUUUUGGAUUUUUUUUUUUUGAAAGCUUUGGACUUGAGCAAUCCCAACACCAAUCUUUUUCAGAUCGGCGGCGGGUUGCUUGAAAUGCAGGUGCAGCUGGACUUUCUCCUGAGCUAAAAGCAUAUUCAUUUAGUCCCGUCAAACGGAUUAUUACUUUUGCUGCAGCUAACAUAAAGGGAGUUUGACCGCAUUGGCUGACUGAUGCAGGAUUUCACAAGGGUCGGCAACGAUUCUUGUUAA